CUUCCAGUAGCACCUUAGAGACCAAGUUUGUUAUUGGCAUGAGCUUUCAUGUGCAUGCACACUUCUAAGACCAAUAACAAACUUAGCUGGUCUCUAAGGUGCUACUGGAAG
Molecule: non-coding RNA, 111 nt
Organism: Podarcis lilfordi (Lilford's wall lizard)
Lineage: Eukaryota; Metazoa; Chordata; Lepidosauria; Squamata; Lacertidae
Source: the annotation of a GenBank genome assembly